CAGUAGCCGCGGGAAUACGUAGGGUGCGAGCGUUAAUCGGAAUUACUGGGCGUAAAGCGUGCGCAGGCGGUUAUGUAAGACAGGUGUGAAAUCCCCGGGCUUAACCUGGGAACUGCGCUUGUGACUGCACAGCUAGAGUAUGGCAGAGGGGGGUGGAAUUCCACGUGUAGCAGUGAAAUGCGUAGAGAUGUGGAGGAACACCGAUGGCGAAGGCAGCCCCCUGGGCCAAUACUGACGCUCAUGCACGAAAGCGUGGGGAGCAAACAGGAUUAGAUACCCCGUAGUCCCUGUCUCUUAUACA
This 301-nucleotide ribosomal RNA is filed under the name uncultured bacterium. RNAcentral describes it as "partial 16S ribosomal RNA". It matches the Rfam family "Bacterial small subunit ribosomal RNA", at positions 509 to 808 of the family's 1533-position model. The record is from RNAcentral.